AAUUCUGUCAAGGUCUCUUUUUAAUGAUGCUUCUGCGCUUGGUGGCAUCCUGCCCACAGAUCGAAAAAGAAAAUGACUUUUCAAGUGUUUACAGAGCCUGAACAGCAAGAGAGAUUCCUUCCCAGCGUGGGUGUCCCAGCGUGACUUCAGGAGGCUGGAAUGGCCGUCUUUGCAAACGCUUGGCUGCCCGCUCCACAGCUGAGCUCUUGGGAAGGAGCACGAGGUGGGUCAGGAUACCAGCAGUCCAGUUCAGCAGUGUCAGGAUCGCAAACAGGAGUCAGCAGUGAUGGCAGGACCCAGCAGAAACAACCAGACCUUUUCCAAAUCAGCACGGGUCAACAGGAUCGUCAAGGACCAGCAGAAAUGUCAGGAGGAGUGUCUCUCUCAUCAAAGUAAAGAUCAGUGAAGAUGAAGAUGAAGACCAAGGAAGCCUUGUGACAUUGGCUCUGCAAGCCCACCAUCAUUGUCCAUUGAGUCCUAUUUAUAGUCCCUCCAAACACCACAUAUUCUCCCUCACCUUGAGAGUCUGUGUUAGCAAAACUCCACUUGAGUCUGUAUCAGCUGACAUCACUCUGCCAAUCAGCCCGAGUCCACGGAAGUGCCAAAGAGCCACCAGAAUGCCAUCAGAAGUUUGUAGUGCAUUUCUUUCUAUGAAGUCACAACAAAUAAUGACUAGGGAGGAAUGGCAAGGCGCACCAAUACCAUCCAGCAGCAGCAGCCACAGUCUGUCAGGUCCUUCUUCACCUCAUGCAUCCUUUCACAUGUUUGCUCUAGCAAAACAUCCCUUUACCUUCGUCUGCUUCAGGAAAACAUUUGACACAGCUGACUUUGGAAGGAAACCAGAAGCUGCCACUUCAGUUGGUGCUGCUGGCGACUAGACUUCGGUGCCUGGUGUUCCCAAUUACUGUUUUUAUGACUUUAGCAAAAUAAAAGUUUGUUCUCUGAA
This is a long non-coding RNA of Apodemus sylvaticus (European woodmouse), 946 nucleotides long. RefSeq lists it as uncharacterized. Lineage: Eukaryota; Metazoa; Chordata; Mammalia; Rodentia; Muridae. The transcript is spliced from 2 exons. The record is from RefSeq and is a predicted model, not a curated record.